AGUAAGCGAGAAACAAAGCCACCUGCGGAACGUAUGAGACAAGUUCGAUGCCAGAGGAGACGAAUGAGGGGGAAAAUGAAGGAGAGGAAGAAACGGCGCGUCUUACCUGUUGGUGAAAAUAUGCGUUUCCGGUUGGGUCGCCGAAACUUUUUCGAAUUCUUCAGCGGCGUCGGCGUUGGACGUCUCGAAGUCGAAGACCUCCGAUUGGGAGAGCGUGUCCGCUUCCGCCGGGGUGCGCAUCCUAGCGCCCCUGAUAAUUUCGACGUCCUAAUCCUGGAGGGCAUAAACGGAAGGCGAACCCCGAUUAGAAUCUGCGGGAGGCUACCCUCACCACUCCCACAUCUGUUGUGACUCCACUGUCGUUCGCCACCGUCUGAAAUCGCCCUUAUCUACGCCGAAAAUCUAAUUCCGGGGGUCCCAAACCCGGAGUGAAUGAAUCGUGGGUGGUAAGCGAGACAGAAAAUAAGGAGGGUCGCCCCCGAGGGCGGCUGCACGUCGAUAAACCCGCAGGUAAAAGCAGAAAAGUUGAAAGCGGCGAACAUUUUCGGGAAUAGUUUCUCCCUAUUUUCGUGGCGCACGUUUUUUCCUCGCACCGGAUGAGAAUCGUCGUGAUUCCGUGUAAAAGUUUUCGCUCUGAGAACCGCUGACGGGCUUCUUCUUUUUUACCGUCUGUCUCCGCGGAUAACUCGCAUUAGGUUAUUUCGUCCGGCUCGCCGUGCACCGUACCAAAUUCCGGCCACCUCGCGAACGAAAAUGCGCCCGAAAAACGGAGCGCUCCGAAAUCUUCGCGGUUUCUCUUUUCGGUUUUUUCGCUUUUCAAAAUAUUCGCGGCUCACGGUUCGUAGGCUAUCGAUCGAUCGCGCCGACGAAAUACUGCGGAGCGCGUAUUCGUAUUCUGGUAAUACAGGCGCUGAACAUGUCGUCCCAGGCAUUCACAUUUCCCAUAUUCGAUCCACGGUUCAUCGGACGCGUCCGCCACUCGAUUUUCCUCGUGAUCCGGACGACCGAGAUAAUUUCGCGAGACCUUGAAAAAGGGCGGAAUUACGGCCGUUCCUAACCUACGCGCACACGAUGUCGGGGGAUGCGAAUCGACCGAGGGUAAGAAAAAAAAAACAAAAACAAACGAAAAGCUGGGGGCGAUCGCGUUCCGAUCGGCCAUUGUGCGACCGCUUUUUCUUUCAGUGUUGUCUGCAUGGGGAUCGUAGGAGAAUAGAAAAACGGAAAAUCAGGUCGAGAGCGCGUAACGAAGCUUUGCGUUGUAUUUUCAGGUGCUUCGGUCGUCCGAAGAGGAGGACGAGGAACUUGCCGACACGGACUGUAC
RNAcentral lists this unclassified non-coding RNA (1321 nucleotides) under Athalia rosae (coleseed sawfly). RNAcentral's name for it is "misc RNA ENSAEAG00005011223.1". The record is from RNAcentral. Lineage: Eukaryota; Metazoa; Arthropoda; Insecta; Hymenoptera; Athaliidae.